Molecule: unclassified non-coding RNA, 298 nt
Filed under: Hevea brasiliensis (rubber tree)
Lineage: Eukaryota; Viridiplantae; Streptophyta; Magnoliopsida; Malpighiales; Euphorbiaceae
Source: RNAcentral
GUAACCAUCUUCAUCAAGUCUAGCAGCAUCUCCGGUCUUGAAGAAACCACCAUCAAUAAACGAUUCUUUGGUAACCUCAGGAAGCUUCCAAUAUUCUUUAAACAUUGAAGGACUUCUAAUGCACAGCUCACCCUCCAAGCUUGAAUCAUUAAUACUCCCAUCAUCUGCAACAAUCUUGGCCUCCACGCCAGGGAAGGGUUUGCCAACAGUUCCAAUCUUUCUCUGACCAUUUAAAGGAUUUGAAAUUGCCAUGACAAAUUCGGUCAUACCAUAUCGUUCCAAAAGUUCGUGGCCAGUU